CCUACGGGAGGCUGCAGUGGGGAAUAUUGCACAAUGGGGGAAACCCUGAUGCAGCGACGCCGCGUGAGUGAAGAAGUAUUUCGGUAUGUAAAGCUCUAUCAGCAGGGAAGAAAUAAAGUCCUUCGGACUUUGGACGGUACCUGACUAAGAAGCCCCGGCUAACUACGUGCCAGCAGCCGCUGUAAUACGUAGGGGGCAAGCGUUAUCCGGAUUUACUGGGUGUAAAGGGAGCUUAGACGGCAGCGCAAGUCUGGAGUGAAGUCCCCUGGCUUAACCAUGGAACUGCUUUGGAACCUGUGCAGCUGGAGUGCAGGAGAGGUAAGCGGAAUUCCUAGUGUAGCGGUGAAAUGCGUAGAUAUUAGGAGGAACACCAGUGGCGAAGGCGGCUUACUGGACUGUAACUGACGUUGAGGCUCGAAAGCGUGGGGAGCAAACAGGAUUAGAUACCCUAGUAGUC
This 457-nucleotide ribosomal RNA is filed under the name uncultured bacterium. RNAcentral describes it as "partial 16S ribosomal RNA". It matches the Rfam family "Bacterial small subunit ribosomal RNA", at positions 338 to 795 of the family's 1533-position model. The record is from RNAcentral.